This 420-nucleotide ribosomal RNA is filed under the name uncultured bacterium. Its description in RNAcentral is "bacterial SSU rRNA". It matches the Rfam family "Bacterial small subunit ribosomal RNA", at positions 355 to 775 of the family's 1533-position model. The record is from RNAcentral.
UGGGGAAUCUUGCGCAAUGGCCGAAAGGCUGACGCAGCGACGCCGCGUGUGGGAGGACGCUCUUCGGGGUGUAAACCACUGUUGCCCGGGACGAACAGUCUCUUUUGAGGGACCUGACGGUACCGGGUGAGGAAGCACCGGCUAACUCUGUGCCAGCAGCCGCGGUAAUACAGAGGGUGCGAGCGUUGUCCGGAAUCACUGGGCGUAAAGGGCGCGUAGGCGGCCCAGUAAGGUCGCGGUGAAAGCCCGGGGCUCAACCCCGGGUCGGCCGUGGCAACUGCUGGGCUGGAGCACAGUAGAGGCGGGUGGAAUUCCGGGUGUAGCGGUGGAAUGCGUAGAGAUCCGGAAGAACACCGGUGGCGAAGGCGGCCCGCUGGGCUGUGGCUGACGCUGAGGCGCGACAGCGUGGGGAGCAAACAG